RNAcentral lists this long non-coding RNA (1682 nucleotides) under Nicotiana benthamiana. RNAcentral's name for it is "long non-coding RNA (NBEN_LNC022738)". Lineage: Eukaryota; Viridiplantae; Streptophyta; Magnoliopsida; Solanales; Solanaceae. The record is from RNAcentral.
CCCAUAAGGCAACCCAAAACGAAAAAUACCCAACAUCUUCUUGGGGAACCCUUGGACAGACCUAAGCUGGAUCAACAACGGAUACCAAAAGAGAAGCCAACACCGCUAGCCCCCAGCCUUAUUCCUAUCGCCGCCAUUCACCCUUAAGCUUCAAUACAUAUCAACCUGGCACACCCUCAUCUUCUUUACCCUCAUCUCCACCAAACACCAGCCGCCCAUCAUAGCCACCGACCUUAAUCCAUCUCACAACUACCGAAACACAAUAGCACCGCACCCUCCCUUUUGAAAUCUGCUUCAAACAUCCCCCUAGGAGUCACUCGUCCACCCUAAAGAAGACUCAUCAGAGAACCCAUUUUUUGCUUUUAAACUUUGUUUUGUUCUCAACUAAAAAAUAUAUACGCAUGAAUAGACAUAGCAGAACAAGGAGGUAGCGAGGUAAUAUGGUCAUGAUUCGACGAGGAUUCCGGUGAGGUUUUCCGGUUUAGAUCUUGUUCGUUGUCUUGUUCAUUCCAUUGCUUAGCAUUGUCAAACUGUCAAGCCGUAGAAUUCCGGAUCUGUUCAGGGUCUAUUCCUCUCUCUUUUUCUAUUUUAGCUAAAUUUAAUGCUUCCAGUAAACUUGUUAAUCUUUCUUUGAUCUGUUUUGUUGAUAUUUGAAUUAAUGUUUCGUUUUUGCACAUAACGCCUUCGUAGAAUUAAUUUUGCAUUUUUAUGCUUCUUUUAAUUAUUGUUUGUGUGUUUCUUUCAUGUAAUUUUAUUUUCGGAGGAAUUCUUAAUAGCUAAUGUAAAUUUGGAGUUCCGUUUGCAAUGUGUCAUUAAAAGAUAAAGGUUUCGAGGCUUUAGGAUUGAUAAUAUAGUGAUAGAAAAUUAAUUUAACAAAGUUGAGUAGGUUGUAUGGUUGCUUGGAUGUUCGAAAAGUCCUAUGACGUGGGAAUGGGAAAGGCCAAUCAUAAUUAAAUUGCUACAUGCUUUAAUUUUUUAUUUUGCCUUGUUAUAUUAAUCGCUAGUAGCAUGCUUAGGCCGUAAACAUUUAGGAGGCCAUCUUUUAGUAUUUUUGUUUGAUCCGAGGUGAGAGGUCAUUCCCUUUUAGUUUAUAUCCAGGGGAAUGCCCCGUAGACCUUGUAUAUAUUUAUCCGGAAUAUGACCCGUAGUAUUUGUAUUUGGAGACCGAAAGUAAAACUUGUAGUAUUGUUUUUAGUUUAUAUCCAGAGGAAUGCCCCGUAGACCUUGUAUAUAUUUAUCCGGGGUAUGACCCGUAGUAUUUGUAUUUGGAGACCGAAAGUAAAACUUGUAGUAUUGUUUUUUUAUUUUUAUUUUUUCUUUAUUAUAUGGGGACGACCUCGCGCACUUUUGUGUUUCUAUUUUUCCAUAUUUAUUUUUACCUCAAUUUGAAUAUUUUAAAUGCCAACUAGAUCAUGUACGCAACCAUUACCUUCACGAGACUUGGGGAGUGCCUAAUACCUUCUAUCUGAUUCUUAUAUGUGCUAACCCGCAUAGGCACCGUAAGACGACGGUGAGUUGAGAAAAAAGCAAAAUGAGAGAGGCUUGAUGGUGAAAAUCCAUCAUGGCACUACAAGUCGACUGAGGAUUGUGGAUCAAAUGAGACUAUUGGAGCGCUGAAGCCUAGUUUCACAAAUUAGAAACAUAGCAAGAGUUGAAGAUUAGACUUACUUGACAGAUCAGGC